This 341-nucleotide ribosomal RNA is filed under the name uncultured Pseudomonadota bacterium. Its description in RNAcentral is "bacterial SSU rRNA". It matches the Rfam family "Bacterial small subunit ribosomal RNA", at positions 29 to 351 of the family's 1533-position model. The record is from RNAcentral. Lineage: Bacteria; Pseudomonadati; Pseudomonadota.
AACAAACGCUGGCGGCGUGCCUAACACAUGCAAGUCGUACGAGAAAGGGUCCUUCGGGACCUGAGUAAAGUGGCGAACGGGUGAGUAGCGCGUGGGUAACCUGCCCUUGAAUCUGGAAUAACCCGCCGAAAGGCGGACUAAUACCGGAUAUUGUCCCGGAGUCGCAUGGCACUGGGAUGAAAGAUGACCUCUUCACGAAAGUUGUCGUUCAGGGAGGGGCUCGCGUACCAUUAGCUAGUUGGUAGGGUAAUGGCCUACCAAGGCGACGAUGGUUAGCUGGUCUGAGAGGAUGAUCAGCCACACUGGAACUGAAACACGGUCCAGACUCCUACGGGAGGCAG